UGGGGAAUAUUGGACAAUGGGCGCAAGCCUGAUCCAGCCAUGCCGCGUGAGUGAUGAAGGCCCUAGGGUUGUAAAGCUCUUUCACCGGAGAAGAUAAUGACGGUAUCCGGAGAAGAAGCCCCGCUACAUUCGUGCCAGCAGCCGCGGUAAUACGAAGGGGCGUAGCGUUGUUCGGAAUUACUGGGCGUAAAGCGCACGUAGGCGGACAUUUAAGUCAGGGGUGAAAUCCCGGGGCUCAACCCCGGCAACGUAGCCUUUGAC
RNAcentral lists this ribosomal RNA (261 nucleotides) under uncultured Hyphomicrobiales bacterium. RNAcentral's name for it is "uncultured Rhizobiales bacterium partial 16S ribosomal RNA". It matches the Rfam family "Bacterial small subunit ribosomal RNA", at positions 355 to 631 of the family's 1533-position model. Lineage: Bacteria; Pseudomonadati; Pseudomonadota; Alphaproteobacteria; Hyphomicrobiales. The record is from RNAcentral.